RNAcentral lists this unclassified non-coding RNA (191 nucleotides) under uncultured fungus. RNAcentral describes it as "sequence contains ITS1". Lineage: Eukaryota; Fungi. The record is from RNAcentral.
UUUUUUUGUUUCGAUAUUUCGUUACAUUCUUUGACUAGUGUUAUAAAAUGAGCCGCAGGUCUAGGGCGGACUAUUACUAAUCUUUCCUUAACCCGCCAAAAAGUGCACAGUGUUAGAGAGUGGAGGUCAGGCUCUACAAGUAGACGCCCUAAAAUUCACUAAUGAUCCUUCCGCAGGUUCACCUACGGAAA